Molecule: small RNA, 29 nt
Filed under: Bombyx mori (domestic silkworm)
Lineage: Eukaryota; Metazoa; Arthropoda; Insecta; Lepidoptera; Bombycidae
Description: ovarian small RNA-15699
Source: RNAcentral
GAGACUUUGGAACACCUGCUUGCGGUAAU